ACGGAAGGCAGCAGUGGGGAAUCUUGCGCAAUGGGCGAAAGCCUGACGCAGCGACGCCGCGUGCGGGAAGAAGGCCUUCGGGUUGUAAACCGCUUUCAGGAGGGACGAAGCCACUCGGGUUAAUACCCCAGAGGGUGACGGUACCUCCAGAAGAAGCCCCGGCUAACUACGUGCCAGCAGCCGCGGUAAUACGUAGGGGGCGAGCGUUGUCCGGAUUUAUUGGGCGUAAAGAGCGUGUAGGCGGCCAGGUAGGUCAGCUGUGAAAACUCGAGGCUCAACCUCGAGAUGUCGGCUGAAACCAUCUGGCUAGAGUCCGGAAGAGGAGAAUGGAAUUCCCGGUGUAGCGGUGAAAUGCGCAGAUAUCGGGAAGAACACCCGUGGCGAAGGCGGUUCUCUGGGACGGUACUGACGCUGAGACGCGAAAGCGUGGGGAGCGAACAGGAUUAGAUACCCUGGUA
Molecule: ribosomal RNA, 458 nt
Filed under: uncultured Gaiellales bacterium
Lineage: Bacteria; Bacillati; Actinomycetota; Thermoleophilia; Gaiellales
Description: bacterial SSU rRNA
Rfam family: Bacterial small subunit ribosomal RNA
Source: RNAcentral